AGCGAACGCUGGCGGCAGGCCUAACACAUGCAAGUCGAACGGACCCUUCGGGGUUAGUGGCGGACGGGUGAGUAACACGUGGGAACGUGCCUUUAGGUUCGGAAUAGCUCCUGGAAACGGGAGGUAAUGCCGAAUGUGCCCUUCGGGGGAAAGAUUUAUCGCCUUUAGAGCGGCCCGCGUCUGAUUAGCUAGUUGGUGAGGUAACGGCUCACCAAGGCGACGAUCAGUAGCUGGUCUGAGAGGAUGACCAGCCACACUGGGACUGAGACACGGCCCAGACUCCUACGGGAGGCAGCAGUGGGGAAUCUUGCGCAAUGGGCGAAAGCCUGACGCAGCCAUGCCGCGUGAAUGAUGAAGGUCUUAGGAUUGUAAAAUUCUUUCACCGGGGACGAUAAUGACGGUACCCGGAGAAGAAGCCCCGGCUAACUUCGUG
RNAcentral lists this ribosomal RNA (433 nucleotides) under uncultured bacterium. Its description in RNAcentral is "partial 16S ribosomal RNA". It matches the Rfam family "Bacterial small subunit ribosomal RNA", at positions 29 to 507 of the family's 1533-position model. The record is from RNAcentral.